Molecule: ribosomal RNA, 338 nt
Filed under: uncultured Latescibacterota bacterium
Lineage: Bacteria; Pseudomonadati; Candidatus Latescibacterota
Description: bacterial SSU rRNA
Rfam family: Bacterial small subunit ribosomal RNA
Source: RNAcentral
UGGCCGUCGUCAGCUCGUGUCGUGAGAUGUUGGGUUAAGUCCCGCAACGAGCGCAACCCUUAUCCCUAGUUGCCAUCAGGUAAAGCUGGGGAACUCUGGGGAGACUGCCGGUGAUAAACCGGAGGAAGGCGGGGAUGACGUCAAGUCCUCAUGGCCCUUACAUCCCGGGCUACACACGUGCUACAAUGGCAGGUACAGAGGGCUGCGAAGCCGCGAGGUGGAGCGAAUCCCAGAAAACCUGUCUCAGUCCGGAUUGAAGUCUGCAACUCGACUUCAUGAAGGCGGAAUCGCUAGUAACCGCGAAUCAGCAGGUCGCGGUGAAUACGUUCCCGGGCCUU